AGUCGAGGGGCAGCAUUUCAGUUUGCUUGCAAACUGGAGAUGGCGACCGGCGCACGGGUGAGUAACACGUAUCCAACCUGCCGAUAACUCGGGGAUAGCCUUUCGAAAGAAAGAUUAAUACCCGAUGGUAUAAUCAGACCGCAUGGUCUUAUUAUUAAAGAAUUUCGGUUAUCGAUGGGGAUGCGUUCCAUUAGGCAGUUGGUGAGGUAACGGCUCACCAAACCUUCGAUGGAUAGGGGUUCUGAGAGGAAGGUCCCCCACAUUGGAACUGAGACACGGUCCAAACUCAUACGGGAGGCAGCAGUGAGGAAUAUUGGUCAAUGGGCGCAGGCCUGAACCAGCCAAGUAGCGUGAAGGAUGACUGCCCUAUGGGUUGUAAACUUCUUUUAUAUGGGAAUAAAGUUUUCCACGUGUGGAAUUUUGUAUGUACCAUAUGAAUAAGGAUCGGCUAACUCCGUGCCAGCAGCCGCGGUAAUACGGAGGAUCCGAGCGUUAUCCGGAUUUAUUGGGUUUAAAGGGAGCGUAGGUGGACAGUUAAGUCAGUUGUGAAAAGUUUGCGGCUCAACCGUAAAAUUGCAGUUGAUACUGGCUGUCCUGAGUACAGUAGAGGUGGGCGGAAUUCGUGGUGUAGCNGGUGAAAAUGCUUAGAUAUCACGAAGAACUCCGAUUGCGAAGGCAGCUCACUGGACUGCAACUGACACUGAUGCUCGAAAGUGUGGGUAUCAAACAGGAUUAGAUACCCUGGUAGUCCACACAGUAAACGAUGAAUACUCGCUGUUUGCGAUAUACAGUAAGCGGCCAAGCGAAAGCAUUAAGUAUUCCACCUGGGAGAGUACGCCNGGCAACGGUGAAACCNCAAAGGAAUUGGACGGGGGCCCCGCACAACCGGAGGAACAUGGGGUUUAAUUNCGAUGAUACGCGAAGAACCUUACCCGGGCUUAAAUUGCAUUUGAAUAAUUUGGAAACAGGUUAGCCGCAAGGCAAAUGUGAAGGUGCUGCAUGGUUGUCGUCAGCUCGUGCCGUGAGGUGUCGGCUUAAGUGCCAUAACGAGCGCAACCCUUAUCUUUAGUUACUAACAGGUCAUGCUGAGGACUCUAGAGAGACUGCCGUCGUAAGAUGUGAGGAAGGUGGGGAUGACGUCAAAUCAGCACGGCCCUUACGUCCGGGGCUACACACGUGUUACAAUGGGGGGUACAGAAGGCAGCUACCUGGUGACAGGAUGCUAAUCCCAAAAGCCUCUCUCAGUUCGGAUCGAAGUCUGCAACCCGACUUCGUGAAGCUGGAUUCGCUAGUAAUCGCGCAUCAGCCAUGGCGCGGUGAAUACGUUCCCGGGCCUUGUACACACCGCCCGUCAAGCCAUGAAAGCCGGGGGUACCUGAAGUACGAACCGCAAGAGCUCCUAGG
RNAcentral lists this ribosomal RNA (1404 nucleotides) under bacterium NLAE-zl-P277. Its description in RNAcentral is "16S ribosomal RNA". It matches the Rfam family "Bacterial small subunit ribosomal RNA". The record is from RNAcentral.